AUUGAACGCUGGCGGCAGGCCUAACACAUGCAAGUCGAGCGGAUGAAGGGAGCUUGCUCCUGGAUUCAGCGGCGGACGGGUGAGGAAUGCCUAGGAAUCUGCCUGGUAGUGGGGGAUAACGUCCGGAAACGGGCGCUAAUACCGCAUACGUCCUGAGGGAGAAAGUGGGGGAUCUUCGGACCUCACGCUAUCAGAUGAGCCUAGGUCGGAUUGGCUAGUUGGUGGGGUAAAGGCCUACCAAGGCGACGAUCCGUAACUGGUCUGAGAGGAUGAUCAGUCAAACUGGAACUGAGAGACGGUCCAGACUCCUACGGGAGGCAGGAGGGGGGAAGAGUGGACAAUGGGCGAAAGCCUGAUCCAGCCAUGCCGCGUGUGUGAAGAAGGUCUUCGGAUUGUAAAGCACUUUAAGUUGGGAGGAAGGGCAGUAAGUUAAUACCUUGCUGUUUUGACGUUACCAACAGAAUAAGCACCGGCUAACUUCGUG
RNAcentral lists this ribosomal RNA (484 nucleotides) under uncultured bacterium. RNAcentral describes it as "partial 16S ribosomal RNA". It matches the Rfam family "Bacterial small subunit ribosomal RNA", at positions 30 to 507 of the family's 1533-position model. The record is from RNAcentral.